Molecule: ribosomal RNA, 468 nt
Filed under: uncultured bacterium
Lineage: Bacteria
Description: bacterial SSU rRNA
Rfam family: Bacterial small subunit ribosomal RNA
Source: RNAcentral
AACGCUGGCGGCGUGCCUAACACAUGCAAGUCGAGCGAGGAGAUCCUCGGGAUGAUCCUAGCGGCGGACGGGUGAGUAACACGUGGGCAACCUGCCUCAUAGAGAGGAAUAGCCUUCCGAAAGGGAGAUUAAUACCUCAUAACAUUGCAGUUUCGCAUGAAACAGCAAUUAAAGGAGCAAUCCGCUAUGAGAUGGGCCCGCGGCGCAUUAGCUAGUUGGUGAGGUAACGGCUCACCAAGGCGACGAUGCGUAGCCGACCUGAGAGGGUGAUCGGCCACAUUGGGACUGAGACACGGCCCAGACUCCUACGGGAGGCAGCAGUGGGGAAUAUUGCACAAUGGGGGAAACCCUGAUGCCAGCAACGCCGCGUGAGUGAUGACGGCCUUCGGGUUGUAAAGCUCUGUCUUCAGGGACGAUAAUGACGGUACCUGAGGAGGAAGCCACGGCUAACUACGUGCCAGCCGCCGC